Ursus americanus (American black bear) is the source of this 107-nucleotide small nuclear RNA. The record is from Ensembl. Lineage: Eukaryota; Metazoa; Chordata; Mammalia; Carnivora; Ursidae.
AUGCUCGCUUCAGUAGCACACAUACUAAAAUUGGAACGAUAUAGAGAAGAUUAACAUGGCCCCUUUGCAAGGAUGACAUGAAUAAAAGUAUAUUAUUCUUUGCUUUG